This 623-nucleotide ribosomal RNA is filed under the name Frigoribacterium sp. 9N. Its description in RNAcentral is "bacterial SSU rRNA". It matches the Rfam family "Bacterial small subunit ribosomal RNA", at positions 70 to 706 of the family's 1533-position model. The record is from RNAcentral. Lineage: Bacteria; Bacillati; Actinomycetota; Actinomycetes; Micrococcales; Microbacteriaceae.
UGAACUGGAGCUUGCUCCAGGGAUUAGUGGCGAACGGGUGAGUAACACGUGAGUAACCUGCCCUUGACUCUGGGAUAAGCGCUAGAAAUGGCGUCUAAUACCGGAUACGAGCUUCAGCCGCAUGGCUAGGAGUUGGAAAGAAUUUUGGUCAAGGAUGGACUCGCGGCCUAUCAGCUAGUUGGUGAGGUAAUGGCUCACCAAGGCGACGACGGGUAGCCGGCCUGAGAGGGUGACCGGCCACACUGGGACUGAGACACGGCCCAGACUCCUACGGGAGGCAGCAGUGGGGAAUAUUGCACAAUGGGCGAAAGCCUGAUGCAGCAACGCCGCGUGAGGGAUGACGGCCUUCGGGUUGUAAACCUCUUUUAGUAGGGAAGAAGCGAAAGUGACGGUACCUGCAGAAAAAGCACCGGCUAACUACGUGCCAGCAGCCGCGGUAAUACGUAGGGUGCAAGCGUUGUCCGGAAUUAUUGGGCGUAAAGAGCUCGUAGGCGGUUUGUCGCGUCUGCUGUGAAAUCUGGGGGCUCAACCCCCAGCCUGCAGUGGGUACGGGCAGACUAGAGUGCGGUAGGGGAGAUUGGAAUUCCUGGUGUAGCGGUGGAAUGCGCAGAUAUCAGGAGGAA